Molecule: ribosomal RNA, 466 nt
Filed under: uncultured bacterium
Lineage: Bacteria
Description: partial 16S ribosomal RNA
Rfam family: Bacterial small subunit ribosomal RNA
Source: RNAcentral
CUACGGGUGGCUGCAGUGAGGAAUUUUGCGCAAUGGGGGGAACCCUGACGCAGCAACGCCGCGUGAGUGAAGAAGGCCUUUGGGUCGUAAAGCUCUGUCAAUUGGGAAGAAGUUAUUAUACUUAAAUAAGGUAUAGUAUUGACGGUACCAAUGAAGGAAGCAUCGGCUAACUCCGUGCCAGCAGCCGCGGUAAUACGGGGGAUGCAAGCGUUAUUCGGAAUUAUUGGGCGUAAAGGGCGCGUAGGCGGUUUUGUCAGUCAGAUGUGAAAGCCCAUGGCUCAACCAUGGAAGUGCAUUUGAAACAGCAAGACUUGAGUACGGGAGAGGAAAGCGGAAUUCCUGGUGUAGAGGUGAACUUCGUAGAUAUCAGGAGGAAUACCAAUGGCGAAGGCAGCUUUCUGGACCGAUACUGACGCUGAGGCGCGAAGGCGUGGGUAGCGAACGGGAUUAGAUACCCCUAGUAGUC